RNAcentral lists this ribosomal RNA (303 nucleotides) under uncultured bacterium. RNAcentral describes it as "partial 16S ribosomal RNA". It matches the Rfam family "Bacterial small subunit ribosomal RNA", at positions 507 to 807 of the family's 1533-position model. The record is from RNAcentral.
AGCAGUAGCCGCGGUAAUACAGAGGAUGGAAGCGUUAUCCGGAAUGAUUGGGCGUAAAGCGUCUGUAGGUGGCUUUUCAAGUCCGCCGUCAAAUCCCAGGGCUCAACCCUGGACAGGCGGUGGAAACUACCAAGCUGGAGUACGGUAGGGGCAGAGGGAAUUUCUGGUGGAGCGGUGAAAUGCGUUGAGAUCGGAAAGAACACCAACGGUGAAAGCACUCUGUUGGGCCGACACUGACACUGAGAGACGAAAGCUAGGGGAGAAAAUGGGAUUAGAUACCCCCGUAGUCCCUGUCUCUUAUAC